RNAcentral lists this ribosomal RNA (113 nucleotides) under Nannospalax galili (Upper Galilee mountains blind mole rat). The record is from RNAcentral. Lineage: Eukaryota; Metazoa; Chordata; Mammalia; Rodentia; Spalacidae.
GCCUGUGACCAUACCGCUCUGAAUCUUCCUGAUCUCAUCUGAUGUCGAAAUCUAAACAGGGUUAGACAUAGUAAUUGGAUGGGAGGAACCACGAAAGAGAAGGGUGGGGGUCA